UCUCUUCCUCGGUCCUCCCUCCUCUGUCCGUUACUCCAUCUCCUCACCAUUCAUUCCUAUUUUCCCAUUUCUUAGAUCCCGUGAUGAGCAAAGGAGUUGAAGGUGGGGGAAGCAGUGCCGCGUCGGCUUUGCAGCGGCAACGACGUGGGUUCCGUGAGGCACGGCGCGAUCCCCGCACGGCGGUGGAUCCGCGGACCGCGGAUGUCGGCGCAUGAUCCGCGGUGGCCUCGGCAAAGGAAGACUGCAGUGGUGGUGCGGCUUCCCGGCAAGGGGUGACGGCGUGUCUCCCUGGCGGGCGAGCGUGGCUUCCGUCCCCAUGGCGUUAAGUGCCUAAAACUUUACUCCCCAUUUCCUCCCUUUACUGAAUCUUCUCCUUCUGUUUCCUUGUUAAUUUUGCUUCCUAUGAACUGUGUGUGUGAUGCUUCAUAGGUUGCGAGUUCCUAUGGUAGGAAAUGUGAUUUUCUGGAUUUGAUGGUUUGGGAGGAGAUCGAGGUGAUGGGAGAAUCUUGUUCACUCAAAUCUGAUUUGCUGAAUUAAGAAAAAAAAUGUUUAGGAUGAAGGACAAAGCCACAAAGGAAAAUGCGCAUGAGUAUUAACUAUGCAUGUCCAUGACUUUGGAUGAAGUUUCUACUCUAGUCUUCAGUAACCAUGCUUGUGUGAGUGAUUGUUUGAUUACUUGCUCGCUGCAGCCAUCUCUGAACUCUUGCUUUGUGCUUAAGUAAUAAAAAUAGCAUGAAUGAGCUGACUGUACUACACGUAUUUUAAAAUCUGAUUGUUUUUGUGAUCAUGCUGUAAAUUCAGUAACUUUUUUCUUUUUUUGUAUUUGUUGGUUUUAACAAAAUAUUGCAUUAUUUUCACCCAGAGUCAUCUUAUUAUGCUUAGAUAGAGUGUAAUCUUGUUUUAUCUUCUAACAAAUUUGCAUGGAAGAUUUUUACAAUAUCAAUUCUUUUUUCAUGUAUGAGCUCGCCUUUUCUUUUAGUACUUGUAUCAUGUGUCUUUAUUAGACCAUUCUUUAGAAACUUAGCUGCCGCUCAAAAAAAAAGAACUCACUAGUUGUGUAUAUGAAAUAACACAUUCUGUAAUUUAUUUAUUUAUUAUUCAGCUACCACUUCAAAAAACAUGUGCGUGCGUGCGUGCGCGAUUUGCACGGCUAGCACAUUCUCUAAAAUUUUUAUUUAUUGUCCAGCUACAACUUGGAAGUAGCGGAUGAUUUAACCCAUGCAAGUAGUUUAUACUUUUGAACUUUGGAAGCAUGUAUCCAAAUCCCAAGUGGCAGCUAAGAUUCCUUAUAGUUUUAGUUUUCGAUGUUCUAAGCUGUUAUUUUAUAUGUAUUAUAUUAUUAUUUAGUAAGGCAUGUCUUGCUCUAGGAAUAUAAUAUAACUGCCAUGCCAUUUCUUGAGUGUAUACGGUAUUACUCUUAACGCGAGUAAUUUAUCAUCUCACCUGAAUUGAAUUAUAUACCACAAAAGGUUUAGUGUGUGUGUUGCUUUGUGAGAUUGAAUAUGUUUAUUUAUAGAUGUGCUUUUUUAUUUUAGGACUUACCAAACUAUAUAUAUUCAAACACAUCAACAUGUUGCUUAAUUGACAUCUGUUUGUUACUAUGAAUGUUUUUUUGAAUUAAAAAGAUAUAGUCUAUACCUUCUCAUUAAGGAUAAGAUGAUGCAGAAUGUGGUAGGACUAGGAGGUCACAUGCCAGUAACUUGAGGCCAGGCAGUAGCAGCUUGGAGUCAAUAAGCAGUAUUAUAAUCUCUAGCAAAACUUUAUUGUUAAUUGACAAGACUUCUCUUAGUUGUAAGUCAAAUUAUGCCAUAUUUACUUGAAGGUUAGUUUUCAGACUUAUGGACAUUGUCUGGUUACCGUAGAAAUCAUGGUUUGAUUGUUUGGUGUUAUCUCAUAAAUAGAUAGGCAUUUGUGGACAUCAUCGUAGAGAGCCUUUGUCAAUUUCUCUCUACACAAAGAUUGUGAAGGUUUCUUGCUCCCCUUUCAGGGUUUCGAUUGUGACAGCUGCAGUUUAGGAGGUGUAUCUAUGGACGCCAUCUUGUCAGCCACCAGAUGCCCAGAAUGUUUGUUGUUGGUGUAUCAACAAAUAAUAACACAAACCCAUAUAAUUGGUAAAUUUGCUGCCUAUUAUGUAGUCACAUUGAAUGUGCAUAUGCCACCCAAAAAUUUUAAAUGUAAAUUUUCUAUUUAUUGUUUUUGUUUUGCUAUUUUUUUGUUUGUACUCGAGAUGAGAAAAAUACACAGACAACUUUUUAUUUGUUCUAUUUUGGGGAUUUUUGUAUGUAUUUUAGUUGUAGAAAAAACAAUUGUGGCUGAUAUAUGUAGUCUCCUUGUAUGUUCGUAUUUUGCCCCAAAAAUUUUAGGUGUAAUUUUUUA
This is a long non-coding RNA of Panicum virgatum (switchgrass), 2376 nucleotides long. RefSeq lists it as uncharacterized. Lineage: Eukaryota; Viridiplantae; Streptophyta; Magnoliopsida; Poales; Poaceae. The transcript has 2 exons. The record is from RefSeq and is a predicted model, not a curated record.